CGCGGCCUAUCAGCUUGUUGGUGAGGUAAUGGCUCACCAAGGCGUCGACGGGUAGCCGGCCUGAGAGGGUGACCGGCCACACUGGGACUGAGACACGGCCCAGACUCCUACGGGAGGCAGCAGUGGGGAAUAUUGCACAAUGGGCGAAAGCCUGAUGCAGCAACGCCGCGUGAGGGAUGACGGCCUUCGGGUUGUAAACCUCUUUUAGCAGGGAAGAAGCGAAAGUGACGGUACCUGCAGAAAAAGCGCCGGCUAACUACGUGCCAGCAGCCGCGGUAAUACGUAGGGCGCAAGCGUUAUCCGGAAUUAUUGGGCGUAAAGAGCUCGUAGGCGGUUUGUCGCGUCUGCUGUGAAAUCCCGAGGCUCAACCUCGGGCCUGCAGUGGGUACGGGCAGACUAGAGUGCGGUAGGGGAGAUUGGAAUUCCUGGUGUAGCGGUGGAAUGCGCAGCUAUCAGGAGGAACACCGAUGGCGAAGGCAGAUCUCUGGGCCGUAACUGACGCUGAGGAGCGAAGGGGUGGGGAGCAAACAGGCUUAGAUACCCUGGUAGUCCACCCCGUAAACGUUGGGAACUAGUUGUGGGGUCCAUUCCACGGAUUCCGUGACGCAGCUAACGCAUUAAGUUCCCCGCCUGGGGAGUACGG
RNAcentral lists this ribosomal RNA (643 nucleotides) under uncultured Actinomycetes bacterium. RNAcentral's name for it is "bacterial SSU rRNA". It matches the Rfam family "Bacterial small subunit ribosomal RNA", at positions 232 to 885 of the family's 1533-position model. Lineage: Bacteria; Bacillati; Actinomycetota; Actinomycetes. The record is from RNAcentral.